CUCUUCCAAAAGCCGAGCAGGGACAUCUGUCAACGUGGGACCUCCAUGAUGAUCCAGUGUCAGGUGGAUAGCCAAGUCACCUUAAUGUUCUGGUACCGUCAGUUCCUGGGACAGAGCUUGGAACUGAUUGCAACUGCAAAUCAGGGCUCUGAGGCCACAUAUGAGAGCGGAUUUACCAAGGACAAGUUUCCCAUCAGCCGCCCAAACCUAACAUUCUCAACUCUGACUGUGAGCAACCUGAGCCCUGAAGACAGCAGCUUAUACCUCUGCAGCACUGGAGACACAGCACUAGGCACAAAUCAAAGACCUGAGCAAGAACCUCAGCUUCCUCCUACCCAGCUCCCACUCAGAUGA
Galeopterus variegatus (Sunda flying lemur) is the source of this 354-nucleotide non-coding RNA. Lineage: Eukaryota; Metazoa; Chordata; Mammalia; Dermoptera; Cynocephalidae. The record is from the annotation of a RefSeq genome assembly.